RNAcentral lists this long non-coding RNA (2379 nucleotides) under Gallus gallus (chicken). Its description in RNAcentral is "lncRNA (ENSGALG00010025987.1)". The record is from RNAcentral. Lineage: Eukaryota; Metazoa; Chordata; Aves; Galliformes; Phasianidae.
AGAUGUGCUUUACCCCAUUCCACUCACCCAUCAUCUAAUUUCCUCUCUGUCAGUGGUAAUGGUAUUUGGAGUGUGUUUCUACAUGUGAGGGCUUUCGUGUUGUACUCUACAUGGGCCAUAAUUCUCCAAGUGAGGAAGCUGACUGCACAGGUGAACUGUAGAGUGGUGGAGAGAAUCAGUGUCUGUGAACUCACCCUUUGAGAGAACAGUCCAGAAGCAUCUGUUAUCAGACAGUAAACUGGAGCACCGAAAAGACUGGCUAACAAACGUUUCUCCAGCAUAUCCCUGUUGAAAGCAAAUCCACAAGACAGCCAUUAAGUCUUUCAUAAUUAACGGCAAUGAGGAGAGGAGCUGAGGAGCAGUCCCUCGCUGCACUGAUCUGGAUUUUAAUACCCUCCACAAGCAGCAACAGUGGUGUUUCAGGGCCAGCAACUGCCAGGUAUUCCUCAGAGCUUGUCACCACUCAAGCGUGCAGUUGUCCUUGCCAGGGGGAUUCUGGCUUGUAGAAUACAACCAGGCUGUGCAGCCUGCGUCACCCAGAUUCAUCCAAAGCAGACAACAAUGAUCUGCCUUUCCCUCAGUACAUUGGAGAUGCUCUGGAAAUCUCUGCGGGAAACUACACCCAAGUACUCUGCCAGACAGCUACCUGGGAUGAAGGAAACUGUAUUUGAAUCAUUCUGAUUUGCUUCGUGGUUAUGAAAGCAAAAUCUGUCUGAUGUUUAGGACACGUUUUAGAAAGACACUCUAAUCUUUUUGAAUAGCAUUGCAUCUUGCUGGAAAGAUUACACCUGAUGUACUGCCUACCACAGAACUGUAGAAAUUGAUAUUUGGAAAAGAACCUUGAGCAUUGCCAUAACGUGUCGUAUGAAAUUCCACGAUGUGGUGUUUUUGCAAUGUGAUGUGAUCAUUAAAAUACUUAAAUAGGGAAGAGGCUUCUGGAAAAAGAUGGAUACGAGCAAAAGGCAAUGCAGCGAUUGGAAACAGAAGAAAGGGAAUUUUGGGGUAUAAGUAAAGUAUAAACUCUUGUCCAUGAAAGUAGCUAUUGCAACUAUUUACAUAAGCUUUCCAUCAGUUGCGAUGUCUUAAUCAAAAAAUGAAUGUAUUUCUAAAAGGUAGUUUAGAGAUAAAGCAGAAGAUACUAUUCUGUUGAUGGAACCACCCAUUGCAAUUGCUUGGCCUAUCCUAUGGAAAAGCCUUGACUACAGUAUUGCAGUGGUUCCUCUGGGCUUUAAGAUCUCUGGAAACAUCAUCAGUUUACAGCAGUUUAGUCUUUGUUUUACCUCUCCUGUUUCUAAUAGGCUGAUUUUCAGCUUUCAGCCACAUGUGGCUUCUUUAUGUCUAGAAGCGUCUGCAUUGAACAGUCUCCUUCCUUCUGCGUACAGGGCAUCUUCAAUGGAAAAUUUUGCUCUUUUGAAAAAAUACUGAUCCAGGCAAAGAACAAAAUAUGGUUCUAUUUAGCCUACUGUGAUGAUGACAUUUUCCUCUGAGAUAGCUUUCUCAGUAAGUGAUGUUUCCACAACUUCCUUUGAGAGAAUACUGAAAACAAACAUUCAGAGAACCUGCCUCUCACCAUUGGCAGACCCCCGUGGGCUGCAAAGUUCACUGUGGCUACCCUGAGCUACAAAAGGAAUGGUAGAUGUGGAGUGCUGAGUGAUGGAGGGCAUGUGUGCUGAAUGUUCAGAAAGCACUGUCUUGUAAUACUGGAGAUGUGACAAGGGAGCAGGAAUCUGUGUUUAUGUCUGAGUAAUUCGGACAUGAAACACUGAAAGGCACUGCGUGGGAGAUGUAGCCAGCAGUACCAGUGAAAUCCACGUGUGGGUGCCAUAAAUGGCAACCAAAAUGGACUUCUCAGCAAGAUCUACAAUUUGCAGACUAAUAUGGACUCUUGAGCUUUGCCGGCAAACUCAAGAAGCCAAUGCCUACCUUAUUCCCUGCCUUGUCCUGCUUCACAUCUAUUGCCUGUGUUUACAUCCAUGUGAAACAAGUGAUCCUUCAUUUAUAACUGACUGCAUUUCACAUGGCUGGCUUUACCUCCUAGCUCCAAGGUGGCAAUGGGCCGCUCUCCAUAAUAGAGAGAGCUUUCACAAAAUAUAAAACCACUCUUCUUUCUCCUCACCCAUCACCUUCCUGAUAGUUCCUCCACCUGAAGACUCAAACUGUAAACAUGUGGGAGAAACAGCUUUUCUGACUGGGUGAGAAAUGUGACAUAAUAGUUAUGCUCCAUUUUUGUCAACGUCUGCAGUUUAUCUAAAUAGUUUGCAAUUAUCCCCUCAACUUAACACCUCUGGGAAGCUGGAGCUAAGGUUGCAUAUGUUGCCUGUAAUUUAGGAACCUGAUAAAAAUAUAGAUAACAUUGGUUAAAUAAAAUGAAUCUGAACU